Homo sapiens (human) is the source of this 475-nucleotide long non-coding RNA. The record is from Ensembl. NCBI's taxonomy places the organism in Eukaryota, Metazoa, Chordata, Mammalia, Primates, Hominidae.
CCACAGAGCUCCACGAAACCUCCUCUAGUGCUGUAUACCUUGUGAAUGCUGAAUAGGUGAUGCAGACUGGUAAUGAACCAAGGAGUUUAAAACGCUAUUGUUCAAGUGGAGAUACAGCUGGGAGCCUUUGAGGUUGUGGAGCCCAGGUACAGUGGGAAGACUGCCUGGCUCCCCGUGUUUGUUUACGCGUUGGGAGUCAGCACGGGGCCUCCCCCACGGUGAGGAGCGCUGUCCCUGGAGAGCCUCUUGGAAGGCAGCCAUGAUCGUGGAGAGGAGUGUUCAUGUCUCAUCCGGGAAAUCUCUCACCGCCUGUGCCCCUUCCCUGUCUUCUCUCAGACAGCCCAUAGAAACACAUUAGCAUCCUGGGCCUGAUGCCAUUCCUUAAGCAAAAGGCACCUGCCCACCCACAUAUGUCCAUGAGUCCCACCAUCUAAUGCCUACAGGAAGUAAACCAGAAGUCUCAUCCGAGGACACC